GCGCUCGUGGUGGAAAUGGCAUACACACCAGAUUCAAAAUCUGGCGCCGCAAAGGCAUUGAGGGUUCGACGCCCUCCGAGCGCACCA
Molecule: transfer RNA, 87 nt
Filed under: Massilia pseudoviolaceinigra
Lineage: Bacteria; Pseudomonadati; Pseudomonadota; Betaproteobacteria; Burkholderiales; Oxalobacteraceae
Description: tRNA-Leu
Rfam family: tRNA
About the family: Transfer RNA (tRNA) molecules are approximately 80 nucleotides in length. Their secondary structure includes four short double-helical elements and three loops (D, anti-codon, and T loops).
Source: RNAcentral